Molecule: ribosomal RNA, 253 nt
Filed under: uncultured bacterium
Lineage: Bacteria
Description: partial 16S ribosomal RNA
Rfam family: Bacterial small subunit ribosomal RNA
Source: RNAcentral
GACGGAGGAGGCAAGCGUUAUCCGGAAUUAUUGGGCGUAAAGGGUACGUAGGCGGCUGGUCAAGUCUGGGGUCAAAGGCCACAGCUCAACUGUGGGAAGGCCCUGGAAACUGACCGGCUAGAGUGAGGCAUGGGUUGCGGGAAUUCCCGGUGUGGCGGUGAAAUGCGUAGAGAACGGGAAGAACAGCUGAGGCGGAAACGCGAAACUGGGCCUCAACUGACGCUGAGGGACGAAAGCUAGGGGAGCGAAUGGG